Non-coding RNA from Prunus mume (Japanese apricot), 904 nucleotides. The record is from RefSeq and is a predicted model, not a curated record. NCBI's taxonomy places the organism in Eukaryota, Viridiplantae, Streptophyta, Magnoliopsida, Rosales, Rosaceae.
CUUACUACAGUAGAAGAAUAAGUGAUGUGUGAUAAUUUUGAUAUGGUUGUAUGCCCUUCAGGUCAUGGACUCUUGCAUGGUUGCAUAUCCCACAGAACAAAGGUCUUAUUUGAUAGCAUGUCAUUUACCUAUGCUAUUUCAAGAAUCAGACUCGAGAUUGAAGAAGAAACUCAUGCAGGCGAUGUGCCUGUGAUCUAGAACUUAGUGUUUGGACAAAAUGGGAGUACUGACCAAGGUCGCUGCACUGGCCACUGAGCAAUUCAGUCUUGCUUGGGGAUUCAAAGGAGAACUGGCCAGGCUCAGGGAUUCAUUAUCCCUCAUGCAAAACAUCUUAUGUGAUGCUGCGGAGCAACCAACAGAUCGAGGCCACACCGUCAAAGCCUGGGUGAAGAAACUUAAAGACAUAGUACAAGAUGCUGAUGAAGUGUUGGAUGAAUUCCAGUAUGAAGUUCUUCGAAGUAAACUGGAGCUAUCAUCAUUUCAUCGAUUGGUAUAAUUUGCCUACUUUCGGAAUGCUUUUACUCGAAUCAGAAGAACAAGUGCUGAGAAACAUUAGGUGAAAACUAUUUCCAUCCAGAUUUGGGAGUAGCAUCCAUUUGAAGUGUGUAAACUGUCCCGAGAAGUUGUUUAUAAAAAUUUGAUGAACUGGAGGGUUUACUGGAGUGAUGAGGGAACCUUGAAGCUUUCAGUGAACUAUCCAUAUGUGAGAAUCUUAAGAAUCUACCAGCAGUGGAAGCUCUGAAAAUUUCCCCAAAAUGAAAAGAUGCACCGAGGAGAGCCAGAGUCAUGUGUACGUUUCUUUCUCAAAUCGGAAUUUAUGAUUUGAAUUCUUGUCCUCUCUCACUUUCAUUUAUCGUUAAUUAACUUAUUGGCCAUUAAGUUUGUUGUCUACUGCAACACAAAG